GCAAAAUCAGACCACCACUGUGGUUAAAUCUGGGAAAGGCAGUGAAUUCCUUACUACCUGCUGCUUCACACUGUAUUUUUCUCCAUCCAGGUUAAAAAGAACAAUUCACCCUACUACUGUCUUUAUUAUUUAAGCAACUGUUGUUUUCACUUGUGAUAGCCCAGCUCUGCUUCUGGAAACAGGAGAGGUUUUGCAAAGUUCCAUGUGUUUUUUUCACUGUUUUUUGCAAAGUCAUGUCUAAUUUUUUCAUUGAUCUCCUUUUACAUAUAAAAUAAAUGUUGUUUCUUCCUCAAAUACUUGUUCUAAUAUUAAAGUUUUACACCUGAGUAUCAGUACUAAAGCGUGAAAUAAAAAUACCACCCUUUGUUUCCUAGCCGCUUGUUAACUAUUCUCUAGCAGUUGUAACUUUGCUACAAAGCUAGAGGAGCUGUGCCUUUAUUAACCGUAUCUAGAUCUUUGGUUCUCUGGGAGCACUCAGGGUACCUUCAGUGAUGUAUCUGGCAUUCAAACAGUUGUCUUGGCUAGAGCAAGAGCUUUUUCUCUGAAAUUAGGGACCAAGUGGAUUUUAAAAGUAUAGCUGGUCAGAUGCAUUAGUAUUGCUGCAUACACUCUGAACACUUGCAGUUUAGGUUUGUAAUCAAAUUAUAGCUUGUUUCUAAUUGUAAACCUGGAAAUAAGCAAUGCUGGAACUCAGCACUGCGAUAACCAGUUUUGUAUGAGGUAUUAAACAUUCAGCAUGAAUUUCGACAUGUUAAUCUCAGCUAAGAGCUGUUAGAAGAGAUGGGCGAGCAUGGAAGUAAAGUGUUGGAAUGAGAAGCAGCAUUCACCAUCCUGGAGUCUGAUUCUGAUACUGCUUUAGCCACAGCAAAGGGACAGCACAAUCCUGAAAGCCAGCCAGUUCUCAUGCCAUAAUCUGGAGUGGCCGACCGGAAUUCACAUCAUUAGCUGUUCAUUUGACUUUGGGCCUGGCUGCGUUUCAUCAGUGUAAAUCUAAAACGCCCCACUUGGCCUGCACUGCUGAAUAAAAUGGGUACAUUUUUUUAUUGUCUUGGCUCAGUUGAGUUGCUUAACAUGGUUUAUAAAACAUUGUCAAGAUGCAGAUGUUAAUAUGAAAAAUUUUUUUAAGCUGCCUUUAUUGUCCAGUGAAACUAAAGCAUGCGUUACACAGCCCACAUGGCUUCAGAUGUUUUAGCUUGCAGCUGAACUCUUCCUUUCUGAGAUACCUUGGGUUGCAGUGCACCUUUCUUACUUUCAGGACAUGUUCAUUCAUUACAGCAAAAUUACUGUAUUUUUACUUCUUGCAAGGGAGAACAAGGUGUCUUUCUCUGUGUUUAGAGUAGCAUUUGCUUUUCAGUGCUGUGCAGGUGUUAGCCAUUCUGAUGCUGCUGAGGCCAGGCCAAUUCCCUGAUUUCUUUAGAUGAAAUACCACUUCAUGCCAUGAUGUUGCUAUAGAGCUGUGAGUAAGCUCCAUGCCCAACGUGCAAAAAAAAAAAUAAUUGCAGCAAAAGAAUACAGCAGAAUAAUUUUUCAUGUUGCAUUGAAGUUCUGUGGGUCCUCUGCAAAGCAGCAUUUCUAAUCUCUUGCUCACCACAAAUUUGGGGUUUUGUUUGUCAGCAAAAGCCAAAAAGCCUGUUUGUUUCCAAUAGUUUUUUUAACUACACUUCACGGUCUUUCAGGGAUUUCAGUUUAAAAAGGUGCUGGUUGAGGAGUAAGGUUUACUUCUCCAAGUACCACUGGGCUUAUUUGUUUGUUCUCUACAUUAAUCUUCCAUAGGUUUCUGCAUGCUAAUUCUUACGAGUGUUUGGCCAUUUUCCAGUGUUAGUUAUAGGAAGAAUAAACCCAGGAGUACAUUUUUAAAGAUAUGGUGUUACUACCGUUAAGUACCAAAUACCUAAGAUUUAAAUCUGGCCCAGAUUGAAAUAUCGGCUACAAAUAGAAGAUUCUCUAUUUGUACAAGUAGUGGGAAUUUUACUCUAUCCCAGGAAAUGUGGGAUUUUAAUGUGCCUCGAGUUCAAAGAGAAAUAGCAUGUGCAGAAUAGGGGGGGGGGGGGGGGGGGGGAUCAUAACAGGCUAGUAUUUGAAAUGAGCUGUUCAUUUAUCUGCUUUGCUCUGUGCAUGUUAGGGGUCAACCAACUUUGCAUUACUGGACAAAAAGCUCUCCUGACCAGAUACUGUCUCAUGAAAUGGAUGAUUGAAACAACAGGAGCACACUUCAAAUAAUCACCGGUCACCAUUGGCACAGAAGAAAUUUCCCCUUCUCACACUCGGAGCCUUACACACAUGAUGGUUCCUCAUGAAUUACCUCCAUUCAUCACAGACUCAAGACUGUGAAGCAUCCACCUUCAAAAGGCACGAUUUACGUCAUGAAACCUCCAAACCUGCCAGCACUAAGGGGAGGAAGGAAGCUCCAAGAAGAGAGGAAAACCACACAAAGUCUAUUGGAAACACUGCACAGCAUCACGCCUGUCUUAAAAGAGGAUCUUACGAUAGUGUGUCCUCGAACAGCAUGAGGACUGCGAGCAUCCGAAUUAAUUCCUCCUCAUUCCUAGGCAGUGUGAGGUGAGGUUUGCAGUGGGAAGGGUUAUAAAUCUGAUCCGCACGGAUUUAGUGGCUGAGGAGCUCCCGGGAAGGAUCUGAGCUUAGAGUACUUGGACAAUAACCAAGGCUGUCGUCUCUCUACCUGCCCCAUGUAAGACAAGCAAAGUUUUGCUUGUCUUGUAUAAGCAAACUUUUAGUGAUGUGGGACUGGUCAAUAUGGUAAAAAUAUAAACUUUGAUGGUGGCAAAAGUGGGAAGAUUGUUCCAAAGCCAAAUUCAAGCUCAAUUUUUCAGCAAGUCAGAACUUAAGUUCUGAGUCACUCAGAAGAUAUUUUUCUUUCCUUAUCUUAGUCCAUUUUUAUAAAUUUUAAAGUGUAAGAGGCAAAAUUCUCUAGUCCCUUUUAACCUAAAGGAAAUAAUGUAUGUAUAUGUAUUUUGCAACUUAAAGCUGCAUUUUAAAAAUAGAGCAGAACUAUUCAGCACUGUG
This is a long non-coding RNA of Pezoporus occidentalis (night parrot), 3024 nucleotides long. RefSeq lists it as uncharacterized. Lineage: Eukaryota; Metazoa; Chordata; Aves; Psittaciformes; Psittacidae. The transcript has 3 exons. The record is from RefSeq and is a predicted model, not a curated record.